Methanosarcina acetivorans is the source of this 164-nucleotide non-coding RNA. Lineage: Archaea; Methanobacteriati; Methanobacteriota; Methanomicrobia; Methanosarcinales; Methanosarcinaceae. The record is from Rfam.
UGCCCUUUUCAUUUGGGGUAAUCCCACCGGAAUGUGCGUCCGGUAAUGCUGAUGUGCAAAGCUUCUGGAUAAUGUGGAGACCUCUGAAAACCCGGAUCAAACAGUUUGCUAGAGUAGGAUAGGAAAAAUCCCAGAAAACUGUUUGCCAAAUAAUAGAGGAAGAC